UGAAGUCCAGAGUUGCCCAUCCCUGGUCCCAAGAAUGUAAGAGUGAGGAAUGGAUAGAGAUUGAAUUGAAAAUGAGUGAGCAGAACAAAACAAAUAUGUUUUGCAACAUAAGACUGAUGUAGCCUGUAUUCAAGAUGGAGACGUGGGAAGCUGGACUGAGAUCCUGCCAAUCUUUUUACCUGGCGACAGUGCCUUUUGAAGUUAAUCCUUUGGGUCUCAUACCCUACAGACAAGCAGAAUAUGAUUAGUGGUGCAGGGUUGACUCUGCUCAACAUUUUCUCAAGCUUUGUUUCGGGAAUACAGAUUAUUCUGCUCUAUGAUCAAUGCAAACCAAGGAGAAGUUUUGUUUCACUUUGCAGAGAAACAUCUAUUACAGAGCUGUUCAUGUACUUUCAACAUUGUUGAUCUGACAUUCCUGUUGCCAUUAUCCAUCUUUAAUAGAUGUGAAGUAGCAGAAUCAAGUCUGUUAAAGACAUUGGAGGGUUGUGAUUACAAUGGGAUUGAAGAAUAAACACCUCUGCAUCAGUAAAAUUGACUUUACUCCAUUAUCAACUCAAUCUGAGUGUACCAAGGAUUGAUAAUGAUGGGUACAUUUGUUAUCAAUACUGAAUAUUUAUUCAUACUAAAUUCUAGAGCAUUAUUCACCACUUGCCGUUCCUGUCCUAUAAUGAGUCAAUAAACAGAUUGUACUAUAUAAUUUUCUAAAUAAAAACCAAAUUUUCCCAAUA
Molecule: non-coding RNA, 728 nt
Organism: Pantherophis guttatus
Lineage: Eukaryota; Metazoa; Chordata; Lepidosauria; Squamata; Colubridae
Source: RefSeq, a predicted model, not a curated record